GACGGAGGGUGCGAGCGUUGUUCGGAUUGACUGGGCGUAAAGGGCGUGUAGGCGGUUGGUCAAGUCUGAUGUGAAAGCCCGGGGCUCAGCUCCGGAAGUGCAUCGGAAACUAGCCAGCUGGAGCGCGAUAGAGGAGGGCGGAAUUCCUGGUGUAGCGGUGAAAUGCGUAGAUAUCAGGAGGAACACCGGCGGCGAAGGCGGCCCUCUGGAUCGUUGCUGACGCUGAGACGCGAAAGCGUGGGGAGCAAACAGG
RNAcentral lists this ribosomal RNA (253 nucleotides) under uncultured bacterium. RNAcentral describes it as "partial 16S ribosomal RNA". It matches the Rfam family "Bacterial small subunit ribosomal RNA", at positions 524 to 776 of the family's 1533-position model. The record is from RNAcentral.